GACGAACGCUGGCGGCGUGCUUAACACAUGCAAGUCGAACGGAAAGGCCCUGCUUUUGUGGGGUGCUCGAGUGGCGAACGGGUGAGUAACACGUGAGUAACCUGCCCUUGACUUUGGGAUAACUUCAGGAAACUGGGGCUAAUACCGGAUAGGAGCUCCUGCUGCAUGGUGGGGGUUGGAAAGUUUCGGCGGUUGGGGAUGGACUCGCGGCUUAUCAGCUUGUUGGUGGGGUAGUGGCUUACCAAGGCUUUGACGGGUAGCCGGCCGGAGAGGGUGACCGGCGAAACUGGAAUGGAGACACGGUCCAGAGUCCUAAGGGAGGAAGCGGCAGGGAAGCUUCCGCAAGGGGCGAAAGCCGGACGGAGAGACGCCGCGUGAGGGAUGAAGGUCUGCGGAGCGUAAAACGCUGUGAUGAGGGGAGAACAAAUGUGUAAGUAAAUAUGCACGUCUUGACGGGAACUAAUCAGAAAGCAACGGCUAACUACGUG
This 488-nucleotide ribosomal RNA is filed under the name uncultured bacterium. RNAcentral describes it as "partial 16S ribosomal RNA". It matches the Rfam family "Bacterial small subunit ribosomal RNA", at positions 28 to 507 of the family's 1533-position model. The record is from RNAcentral.